UCUAAAUGGUAGAAAAGUACAUUGAAUUUAAACUUCAAACAUAAAUAUAAUUAUUUUUUAGAU
Molecule: transfer RNA, 63 nt
Filed under: Ichneumonidae sp. MT-2014
Lineage: Eukaryota; Metazoa; Arthropoda; Insecta; Hymenoptera; Ichneumonidae
Description: tRNA-Leu
Source: RNAcentral